This 1093-nucleotide ribosomal RNA is filed under the name Bacillus sp. (in: firmicutes). RNAcentral describes it as "bacterial SSU rRNA". It matches the Rfam family "Bacterial small subunit ribosomal RNA", at positions 56 to 1123 of the family's 1533-position model. The record is from RNAcentral. Lineage: Bacteria; Bacillati; Bacillota; Bacilli; Caryophanales; Bacillaceae.
UGCAGUCGAGCGAACUGAUUAGAAGCUUGCUUCUAUGACGUUAGCGGCGGACGGGUGAGUAACACGUGGGCAACCUGCCUGUAAGACUGGGAUAACUCCGGGAAACCGGAGCUAAUACCGGAUAACAUUUUCUCUUGCAUAAGAGAAAAUUGAAAGAUGGUUUCGGCUAUCACUUACAGAUGGGCCCGCGGUGCAUUAGCUAGUUGGUGAGGUAACGGCUCACCAAGGCAACGAUGCAUAGCCGACCUGAGAGGGUGAUCGGCCACACUGGGACUGAGACACGGCCCAGACUCCUACGGGAGGCAGCAGUAGGGAAUCUUCCGCAAUGGACGAAAGUCUGACGGAGCAACGCCGCGUGAGUGAUGAAGGCUUUCGGGUCGUAAAACUCUGUUGUUAGGGAAGAACAAGUACAAGAGUAACUGCUUGUACCUUGACGGUACCUAACCAGAAAGCCACGGCUAACUACGUGCCAGCAGCCGCGGUAAUACGUAGGUGGCAAGCGUUAUCCGGAAUUAUUGGGCGUAAAGCGCGCGCAGGCGGUUUCUUAAGUCUGAUGUGAAAGCCCACGGCUCAACCGUGGAGGGUCAUUGGAAACUGGGGAACUUGAGUGCAGAAGAGAAAAGCGGAAUUCCACGUGUAGCGGUGAAAUGCGUAGAGAUGUGGAGGAACACCAGUGGCGAAGGCGGCUUUUUGGUCUGUAACUGACGCUGAGGCGCGAAAGCGUGGGGAGCAAACAGGAUUAGAUACCCUGGUAGUCCACGCCGUAAACGAUGAGUGCUAAGUGUUAGAGGGUUUCCGCCCUUUAGUGCUGCAGCUAACGCAUUAAGCACUCCGCCUGGGGGAGUACGGUCGCAAGACUGAAACUCAAAGGAAUUGACGGGGGCCCGCACAAGCGGUGGAACAUGGUGGUUUAAUUCGAAGCAACGCGAAGAACCUUACCAGGUCUUGACAUCCUCUGACAACUCUAGAAGAUAGAGCGUUCCCCUUCGGGGGACAGAGUGACAGGUGGUUGCAUGGUUGUCGUCAGCUCGUGUCGUGAGAUGUUUGGGUUAAGUCCCGCAACGAGCGCAACCCUUGAUCUUAGUUGCCAGCA